This is a long non-coding RNA of Triticum aestivum (bread wheat), 446 nucleotides long. RefSeq lists it as uncharacterized. NCBI's taxonomy places the organism in Eukaryota, Viridiplantae, Streptophyta, Magnoliopsida, Poales, Poaceae. The record is from RefSeq and is a predicted model, not a curated record. The transcript has 3 exons.
CAACCUCACCGCCGCCCUCGGCGCCGGCAGCAGCACGAGCAAACCCCCAGCGCCGCUCUCCUCCCGACCUCCACACGCCGAACCCGGUGAGUAGAGCUCCGCUUCCACCGCCUGCUUCUUCUCCGCCCAACCAGUGAGGUUCUAAUCUGCAGCGUUGACGAGAGGAACUGGCUACAAUGGAGAUGGAGGGGAAGAGCAACAGCGUGACCAAGGUGGUCAAGGAAGGAGGAGAUGGUCGGCAAGAGGGAGAGGGCACCACGUGGAUGGACAUCUCUCACAUCUUGCAGCUGGAGGGGAACAGCUGCAGCAAUGGUAGCAAGAUCAAACAAGGAGGAGAAGGUCAGCAAGAGGGAGAGGACAUCGUCAGGAAGCAGCAUGCCAUUGUCAUCAUGGGAACGGACGUCUUCGAUUGCCCCAUCUGCUCUACCCCCCUUAGCCCUCCCAUU